RNAcentral lists this ribosomal RNA (338 nucleotides) under Stiphrosoma laetum. RNAcentral's name for it is "partial 12S ribosomal RNA". The record is from RNAcentral. Lineage: Eukaryota; Metazoa; Arthropoda; Insecta; Diptera; Anthomyzidae.
AAUCGCUAGGUAGUAAUAGUUAUGUUCUUGAAACUUAAAAAAUUUGGCGGUAUUUUAGUCUAUUCAGAGGAACCUGUUCUGUAAUUGAUAAUCCACGUUGGACCUUACUUAAAUUUGUUUAGCAAUUUAUAUACCGUUGUUAUUAAAAUAUUUUUGAGAAAAAUAAUAUUUAAUAAUUUUGAUAAAAAUUUAUAUCAAAUCAAGGUGUAGUUUAUGUUUAAGUAGAAAUGGGUUACAAUAAAAUUAUUUUAUGGAUAUAAAUAUGAAAAAUUUAUUGAAAUUGGAUUUGAUCGUAAAAUUAUAAAGAUUAAUAAUUUGAUUUUAGCUCUAAAAUAUGU